This is a long non-coding RNA of Saccostrea cuccullata (small rock oyster), 247 nucleotides long. RefSeq lists it as uncharacterized. The transcript is spliced from 2 exons. NCBI's taxonomy places the organism in Eukaryota, Metazoa, Mollusca, Bivalvia, Ostreida, Ostreidae. The record is from RefSeq and is a predicted model, not a curated record.
CACACGCAGCCUGUACGUGUUUUCGCAUUUGCUAUUAUACUAAUUCUGGAGAUAUGCUAUUCCAUUGCCACCCACAACGACAAUCCAGUUAAAACUGUUGUCCAAUGUAGUGAAACACAUAAUAUUGAAAUUCAGAGAAGUUUAACAGAGCUCGGAAUGAAAAUAGACAAAUUAUCCAAUUCUUUUGGACAGACAUAUAAAGUUGAGGGCAAGAGAUUCUUCAAUGCUGCUUACGGUAAAUAGGUCA